CCUACGGGUGGCAGCAGUCGAGAAUUAUUCACAAUGGGGGAAACCCUGAUGGUGCGACGCCGCGUGGGGGAAUGAAGGUCUUCGGAUUGUAAACCCCUGUCAUGUGGGAGCAAAUUAAAAAGAUCGUACCACAAGAGGAAGAGACGGCUAACUCUGUGCCAGCAGCCGCGGUAAUACAGAGGUCUCAAGCGUUGUUCGGAAUCACUGGGCGUAAGGCGUGCGUAGGCUGUUUCGUAAGUCGUGUGUGAAAGGCGCGGGCUCAACCCGCGGACGGCACAUGAUACUGCGAGACUAGAGUAAUGGAGGGGGAACCGGAAUUCUCGGUGUAGCAGUGAAAUGCGUAGAUAUCGAGAGGAACACUCGUGGCGAAGGCGGGUUCCUGGACAGUAACUGACGCUGAGGCACGAAGGCCAGGGGAGCGAAAGGGAUUAGAUACCCCAGUAGUC
This 446-nucleotide ribosomal RNA is filed under the name uncultured bacterium. RNAcentral's name for it is "partial 16S ribosomal RNA". It matches the Rfam family "Bacterial small subunit ribosomal RNA", at positions 338 to 795 of the family's 1533-position model. The record is from RNAcentral.